Long non-coding RNA from Raphanus sativus (radish), 398 nucleotides. RefSeq lists it as uncharacterized. The transcript is spliced from 3 exons. NCBI's taxonomy places the organism in Eukaryota, Viridiplantae, Streptophyta, Magnoliopsida, Brassicales, Brassicaceae. The record is from RefSeq and is a predicted model, not a curated record.
AUUCAUCUGCUUCCAUUAUUGUAUAUGUCGUUUACUCCACUUUUUCUUUUAUUCCUUUCAUCACAAAUCUUUGCAUUUAGGAGAUAUUAUAUUCCGACCAUGGCGUUAUUAUUAUUGUUAAACAUCAAGGCUUAAGAGAACAGGUAAGAGUUGCAGGUUAAGAUGGCUCAACUACUUGCGACCAGAUGUUAGACGAGGCAACAUCACUCUCGAAGAACAGUUUAUGAUCCUCAAACUCCAUUCUCUCUGGGGCAAUAGGUGGUCGAAGAUUGCACAGUAUCUACCGGGAAGAACAGAUAAUGAAAUAAAGAAUUAUUGGAGAACUCGUGUGCAAAAACAAGCUAAACACCUUAGAUGCGAUGUUAAUAGCAAUCUUUUCAAGGAGACAAUGGAAAAGG